CCUACGGGGGGCAGCAGUGAGGAAUAUUGGUCAAUGGGCGGGAGCCUGAACCAGCCAAGUCGCGUGAGGGAAGACGGUCCUACGGAUUGUAAACCUCUUUUGCCGGGGAGCAACGGGGUCCUUGCGAGGGCCCAAUGGGAGUACCCGGAGAAAAAGCAUCGGCUAACUCGGUGCCAGCAGCCGCGGUAAUACGGAGGAUGCGAGCUGUAUCCGGAUUUAUGGGGGUGAAAGGGUGCGAAGGCGGGCUGUUAAGUCAGCGGUAAAAUGUCGGGGCUCAACCCCGGCCUGCCGUUGAAACUGGCGUCCUCGAGUGGGCGAGAAGUAUGCGGAAUGCGUGGUGUAGCGGUGAAAUGCAUAGAUAUCACGCAGAACUCCGAUUGCGAAGGCAGCAUACCGGCGCCCUACUGACGUUGAGGCACGAAAGCGUGGGUAUCGAACAGGAUUAGAUACCCUGGUAGUC
This 460-nucleotide ribosomal RNA is filed under the name uncultured bacterium. Its description in RNAcentral is "partial 16S ribosomal RNA". It matches the Rfam family "Bacterial small subunit ribosomal RNA", at positions 338 to 795 of the family's 1533-position model. The record is from RNAcentral.